Molecule: ribosomal RNA, 253 nt
Filed under: uncultured bacterium
Lineage: Bacteria
Description: partial 16S ribosomal RNA
Rfam family: Bacterial small subunit ribosomal RNA
Source: RNAcentral
UACAGAGGUCCCAAGCGUUGUUCGGAUUUACUGGGCGUAAAGGGUGCGUAGGUGGUGAGGUAAGUCUGAUGUGAAAUCUCCGAGCUUAACUCGGAAAUGGCAUUGGAAACUACCUUGCUAGAGGGUUGGAGGGGGGACUGGAAUACUUGGUGUAGCAGUGAAAUGCGUAGAUAUCAAGUGGAACACCAGUGGCGAAGGCGAGUCCCUGGACAACUCCUGACACUGAGGCACAAAAGCUAGGGGAGCAAACAGG